Raphanus sativus (radish) is the source of this 895-nucleotide long non-coding RNA. RefSeq lists it as uncharacterized. The record is from RefSeq and is a predicted model, not a curated record. Lineage: Eukaryota; Viridiplantae; Streptophyta; Magnoliopsida; Brassicales; Brassicaceae. The transcript is spliced from 2 exons.
ACUGUUCCAGUUAUAGUUGCAAAUCUUUUUCAAAUUAAUAACAAACAACAAAAACUAGAAAAUUAAAAGUCGUUAACAUUACAAAUCAAAUACACUAGGCCAAUCAUUAUAUUUACCAAUCUUCCACAAAUACAUUUUUUCAAAUAGAAACAAAAUAAAUCGGAAGUUUCUAACAAACUGUCGGAUAUGCUGAUUUAGAAAAUCUUAUUUUCCAUAACUUAAACUAACUUGAUACUCAAGAUUUGUAAUAUUGAAAAAAAUAUUCUCAAACUGUAUUGAAUGGAAAUACUGUAUGCUAAAAUAUCGGCCUUGACCAAUCUUAUAUAUACUGCAUUCUAAACCUCAAAGCAAUCAUAUUUUUUUCAAUGAAUAAUAGCUAUAAAUGUCUUCCACUCAAAAGAUAUCGUACAUUGACGAAGUUAGUCCAUGGAAAUGGAUAUGGUUUAGUCCAUGGAAAUGGAUAUGGUUGAUCCAAGUCAAUGCUACACACCUGCAAACCAUCCAACGCCGGGUUUGGUGAGAGUUUGGAAAUCAUAUUUGCAGAUAAAAAGUAAGCCAUCAAAUUGGAUGAUUUAACGAGGAUCUACCUCAGAAAGUUUCAGAUCGGCUUCGAUUUCUUUUUAUCCAUAACAUCAAAGCCAUCUGACAUGACAUUCAAAACAAAUCAAUAAAUUGUUUCAGAAAUAUGUGUAGCUUCAACUAUCUAUGAAGGAUGAAGAAUGAAGAUCAAAAGAUUUACCAGCGAAGAGAUUCGCUGAAAAGAAUCAAGAUUAACAAAAGAGUCCUUUCCCAAUCGCCAUUUGUAUCAAUACUAUUAAAGUUGAAGUAUGACCAACUGAUAUUAGUUGUAUCCACUUUUUAAAUUUUAUAACUGCCAGUAAAUAUACUUUUAAUA